CGCUGGCGGCAUGCCUAUCACAUGCAAGUCGAACGAGACCUUCGGGUCUAGUGGCGCACGGGUGCGUAACGCGUGGGAAUCUGCCCUUCGGUUCGGAAUAACUCAGGGAAACUUGAGCUAAUACCGGAUAAUGACGUAAGUCCAAAGAUUUAUCGCCGAAGGAUGAGCCCGCGUAGGGAUUAGCUUGUUGGUGGGGUAAUGGCCCACCAAGGCGACGAUCCUUAGCUGGUCUGAGAGGAUGAUCAGCCACACUGGGACUGAGACACGGCCCAGACUCCUACGGGAGGCAGCAGUGGGGAAUAUUGGACAAUGGGCGAAAGCCUGAUCCAGCAAUGCCGCGUGAGUGAUGAAGGCCUUAGGGUUGUAAAGCUCUUUUACCCGGGAUGAUAAUGACAGUACCGGGAGAAUAAGCUCCGGCUAACUCCGUG
Molecule: ribosomal RNA, 428 nt
Filed under: uncultured bacterium
Lineage: Bacteria
Description: bacterial SSU rRNA
Rfam family: Bacterial small subunit ribosomal RNA
Source: RNAcentral